RNAcentral lists this ribosomal RNA (460 nucleotides) under uncultured bacterium. Its description in RNAcentral is "partial 16S ribosomal RNA". It matches the Rfam family "Bacterial small subunit ribosomal RNA", at positions 338 to 795 of the family's 1533-position model. The record is from RNAcentral.
CCUACGGGAGGCAGCAGUGAGGAAUAUUGGUCAAUGGACGAGAGUCUGAACCAGCCAAGUAGCGUGAAGGAUGACUGCCCUAUGGGUUGUAAACUUCUUUUAUAUGAGAAUAAAAUGUUCCACGUGUGGGAUUUUGUAUGUACCAUAUGAAUAAGGAUCGGCUAACUCCGUGCCAGCAGCCGCGGUAAUACGGAGGAUCCGAGCGUUAUCCGGAUUUAUUGGGUUUAAAGGGAGCGUAGGUGGAUUGUUAAGUCAGUUGUGAAAGUUUGCGGCUCAACCGUAAAAUUGCAGUUGAAACUGGCAGUCUUGAGUACAGUAGAGGUGGGCGGAAUUCGUGGUGUAGCGGUGAAAUGCUUAGAUAUCACGAAGAACUCCGAUUGCGAAGGCAGUUCACUGGACUGCAACUGACACUGAGGCUCGAAAGUGUGGGUAUCAAACAGGAUUAGAUACCCGUGUAGUC